RNAcentral lists this ribosomal RNA (253 nucleotides) under uncultured bacterium. Its description in RNAcentral is "partial 16S ribosomal RNA". It matches the Rfam family "Bacterial small subunit ribosomal RNA", at positions 524 to 776 of the family's 1533-position model. The record is from RNAcentral.
UACAGAGGUCUCAAGCGUUGUUCGGAUUCAUUGGGCGUAAAGGGUGCGUAGGUGGAGCUGUAAGUCGGGUGUGAAAUUUCGGAGCUUAACUCCGAAACUGCAUUCGAUACUGCGGUGCUUGAGGACUGGAGAGGAGACUGGAAUUCAUGGUGUAGCAGUGAAAUGCGUAGAGAUCAUGAGGAAGACCAGUGGCGAAGGCGGGUCUCUGGACAGUUCCUGACACUGAGGCACGAAGGCCAGGGGAGCAAACGGG